UGGACAGAUUAUUGUAUUCGACUGUAUUCACUGCGUGAAAUAGGGGAUUACACUGUUUUUAAAACGGAAAGUGAAUCAAUUAACAUAAUAGACUCCU
Molecule: microRNA precursor, 97 nt
Organism: Nicotiana attenuata
Lineage: Eukaryota; Viridiplantae; Streptophyta; Magnoliopsida; Solanales; Solanaceae
Rfam family: MIR6152 microRNA precursor family
Source: Rfam